UAUUUCCCCUUCUGUUAGCAGUUUCCAUUUCAGAGCUGGCAGAGUUUUCCGUUUUCCUCCAGGGUUUCUGCGUAUGAGAAAGUCGAUUUGAUGGUCACAAGCAUGGGAUCAGCAUGGUAAACACUUUGCUUCCAGCAUGCACCGAGUGCCUCGGUUGGCAUCACUUCCAGUCUCUGGAACCACUUAACGCAGGCUCAACUUCCUUGUUUCUGGUCUGCAACAUCCAUGAUGAGAAGCCCAUCGUCACCUUUAAUCGUCUGCAUUUGUUAUGUCCUUUCUCAGAUUUUCUUCAUCUUUUGGCAGUUCUGUAACUCUGUUUGACAUUCAGCAGCCUCCCUUUCAGGUACCCAGUGCUACGAAAGCUGCUGGACAGCUACAACACACCACUUCAAGCUGUGUGUUCACUGUAAUUCCUCCUUUCAUUACUCCAGCGAUGGAUACCAGAUCUCCUCCAAUACCAGCCAAGAAUGCUGCAGUGCAUGCUGUGGACAGCUCCCCAGAGACCGUUGUCAAAUGUGCUUCGACAUACUAGGACAGAUUGCUGGACCAUUCGGUGUAUGAUUUCACUAAACCCCUAUCCUCUCCAAAAUCCUGCAGUGCUACCCCAUCUCAGCACAGCUCAGGGGGAUUCCUGGGUCCCUCUGCCUACAUGCAGCACCCUUCUGCUUCCUGAUCUUGUCUGGGUGAGCUCUUUGUUAUUCUAAUGUGCACUGCCGGAUGACUGAGUUCAGGCACUUUGCCCCUUAUCUGGCUUUUCCAUCUACACAUCUUCAGUUGAAAUCUGUUCCCAGGCUCUCCACAGAGCUUCCCACAGGACUCCUUCAGCCUUUCUACCUUGUCCAUUGUCAUCACUGAUUGCAAUCACAGGUAACCUGAGGUAACCUGUUUCCUUCUUGGCCUGCAUGGUGCUGUGAGCAUGAAAAGACUGCCCUUGGCAAGACUUCUGGUACCUAGUGUUUGCUUUAUUUUUAAUUUCAGUCACUAAUAAAACUUGUAUAUCACCCUACUUGGGACCCUGU
This 1019-nucleotide long non-coding RNA is filed under the name Mus spicilegus (steppe mouse). RNAcentral describes it as "lncRNA (ENSMSIG00000005732.1)". Lineage: Eukaryota; Metazoa; Chordata; Mammalia; Rodentia; Muridae. The record is from RNAcentral.